RNAcentral lists this long non-coding RNA (23427 nucleotides) under Jatropha curcas. RNAcentral describes it as "long non-coding RNA (JCUR_LNC000222)". The record is from RNAcentral. Lineage: Eukaryota; Viridiplantae; Streptophyta; Magnoliopsida; Malpighiales; Euphorbiaceae.
AGCAAGUCUAAAAUCAUUCACGAUAUUAGGAAUUUCAUCUGUUCUUAGUCGCCUUGGAGGUGUGAACUGUGCAACACCAAAGCCAUUACCUCGAAUUUGAGGGGUCAAACCUUUGUCUGUUGAAGAGAUUGGAGCCUGCCCAUUUGGCUGAAAACCUAAACAGAGAUAGUAGAAACAAAAUAAAGAUCCAGGUUUAAAGAACAAAGCCUUCAUAAAACAAAGCAGUUUUACCGCAUGAAUUUCAAAAGAAUAAUUAAGAAUCAUUAAAAAUAUCAAGAAUUGAUUCUUAUAGCCAUUUGGAACAGAAAUUCAUUCCACCGACAAACUUCACUAGAGGUUAAAAGCAGGAUUUAAUAAAACCCAAUAUCAAAAAAACACAAGUAAGGCCAAGUAUCAUGCCAAAAAAAAUUGUGCUGAUGAAACUCUAGUGUCGAGAAAUGGGGAAUAUAACAGAAGUCUUUUUAGUAAGCUCAAGACUCAAGUUCAUCCAAAGUGACAAAACAAGCACAAAAUUUAAGUGAUGGAAGCAACACCAAUAUACCAAAUUUAAACAAGAAAGUACCUGAAUUUGAAAUUCUUCCAACAUGCCAAAUUUGACAAAAGAAGAUGCCGCCUUUGGCAUGAACAGCAUCUACAAUUGGUUUCCAUGCCUCAACUUGUUCUUUGGUCCAGAUACCAGGAGUAUCAGGAUACCUUCAAUUAAUAAAUGCAAAUAAACCAAAAACAUUAAUUAUUAUCAAAGUUCAAAUUCUUGAAGCUAAGAAAGCAAAUAAUACCAAACUUUACUUUACCUAUACAUUUUGAACAUAAAAACUAGGCAGAUAAUAACAAAACAAAAAUUACCCUUGAGCAGUGUCAGAAACUCCGGUUGCUUCAGAUAUAAGAAGACCUCCUUUGGUGGAUCUUUGGGAAUAAUAUAAAAUGGCAUGUGGCUGAGGAAUAUUGUGGUAGGAUCUCUGCCUGGUUAAUGGUGCUAGGACAACCCUGAAAAAGAGACAUUAAAUAGGAAAUAAUAUAAUUAAAGCUUCUAACUUUCUUAGCCAAAAAGUUAGCAAAUAGAACUUGAUCCUUAUAGGACUUUCCUAUGACUUUAUCCAUUAGAACAGUUUGAUAAAAAUUACACAGGCCAAGCAACUUAUACAUUAACAGUUUGAUUAAAAUCAUUGAGCAAUGAAUCAACUAUGCCUAGGAUAAGAUACAUUUACUUUUCAGAAAACAGUUCCACCAUUUCUAAGAUCCAAUCCCUAUUCUACAGAAGGGUAUUGCUGAUUAAUGAAUAAUAAAAGUGUUAGUGUUUGGAUAGUAGCUAGUACUCAAGUGUAUGAACAACAAAAUAACUAAUUUAGAACAAGAUUCAAGCACUAAUAGUAUUUCAUUUAGGACUUUUCACAAACACUCAACUAAAUGCAAAUCAUCCCCAACAAAACAUCAAAAUUCACACAAUAUGAAUCAACGAAUUAGUACAUUACCUAUGAGAAAGAUUGAACUUCCCCAUCUUGUACGGGGUGAGAAGAGCAAUACUGGGAGAUUGACCAGACAUUAUAGUGUCUUGUUCUUGAUCUUGUUCUUGCAUUGUGUCUUCAAUACUAAUUUACAGUAAAUUGUAAGAGACUUGGACUUUUAUCACUCUUUUUGCUAAUAAUAAUGGUGAAGAUGAAAUGAAGACAAGUGGGAUUUUAAAGAGCCCAACAACCGACAAGCCGGCGGCGGCGACCCCUUCAGGUUAGCGUUCAGGAGCGGGACAUGAAUGAAUCUGGUCCUAUUAACCGCACCAUCCAAGCUAUGGUUCUUCCUUUUGUCUUUCGCUUUGACGUAGCUGCUGACGGAUGGUUCUGUUGAAUAUUGGAUGUUUAGAAGCAAAAAGCAAGAAGUAUAUUUAUCUAUUUAAUUAAAAUAAGAAGAAAUUAGAUCUGUGAUUUAAGAAGUAUAACUAGUCCGUACUUGUGUAUUUGAAACGAGUAAAAUACUCUUUUAUUUCUUCUCAUUUGAUAUAUUUUAGUAUUAAAUUAAUAUCUUUCCUUUGGUUAUUUUUAUUUUCUUGUUGAUUCGGCUGCAAAGAUAUAAAAUGUAAGAAAGCAAAAUAUAUACACAAAUUACUCCUUCAAUUAUUUUAUAUUAUUUUUUUUAAUAAAAGGUGACCAAUUAAUUGUAUAUUUUACAGUUAUAGCAGUAGAAGCGGUAUUAGCACCAAUGCCUCCAUGAGAGAUCUCUGGCAAAGGAAUAGCUUGACUGCCGAGUCUUUAGCCUUUGACAUUUCUGUUGCUCUCGUUUUGUUUAUUAUUUCCCUUUCCCUGUUUUGUUCUGAUAAAACGAGAUUAGAGAUUGCAGCUCUGCAUUGUCGACGGAAAGAGAGGCUUUUGGGAAGGAGAUGAUGUUGGGUUAAGUUGGUACAGUGAAGGAGAUAAGGGAAGAGGUAUCCUAGAUUCUUAGAGAAGGGUUUAAGAUUGAAACGCACCGUUUAGUAGGGCUAUUCAUUGGUCAGUUUGAAUAUAAUAGUCGAACCAAACUUAAAGUAGGGUUUAGAAAAAAAAUCCAAAUCAAACCAUAAAAAUUUUCAAACUAAACUAAACCUUUGAUGGCAGUUUGAUUUUGUUUGAUUCAGUUUGACGGUUUUUACAGUUUGAAAUAAGAGAAAUUAAACUUCUUCGUUCAUCUAAUUAAUAAAAAAAAAAAAACAUUAUACUAAAUAUGAAAAAUGAAUUUAUAAAAAUUAUGCCAUAAAUUACACAUGAUUUUGAAUAGCUAUUAAAAGUUCUUAAAUUAAUUUCUUAUACGUAUAUUCUGAGUAUAGUAUAAAAAAAUAUUAUAUAUUUAAAAUAAUAAUUAAGCAAAUUAUAAAUAUAGAAUUUAAAUUUUGAUUUAAAUUCAUUUGUUGCUAAAAUUUAUAAAAAAGUAUAGUUUUUUUACGCAUAUGGUUUGUAUAUAUAUAUUAAUUUAAUUUUGCAUCAAUAGUUGAACAUUUUAUAAAAUAAUUUAUAAUUUAUCUAAUUAAUAAGAAAUUAUUGUUCAAUUAUUAUCCAUUAUAUCUUAUCUCACAAUUUACUAUCCAAUAUAAAUUAACCAGUAUAAAGAAAAUCUUUAUUCAAAAAGAUUGAAUAUAUAUACGGUUUAGUUUAGUUUGAACGGCUUUGACUUUAAAAUCGUAAAUAAAACCAAUAGUUCGAGUUUUAAAUUUUAUAAAAUUAAAAUAAACCUUUAACACAAUUUUAGAUUGAUUUAGAUUGGUUUGAAUCGAUUUAGACGGUUUAGGUAGUUUGAUGAACACCCCUACGGCUUAGUGUUAACGGGUCCACUUUAAAUUUUUUUGUUCAUUCGAGAAUCGGCUAAAUACAUAAUUUAACCCCUAAACCAUGAACUAUCAAAUUAAUCUUAUGGCACGCUGAACUUCACUUUUCAACAAUUUCAUACAUCUUUACAUUAAAAACAGUAAAUUUUAAAAAUUUUUGGCUUUUAUGCAAAAUGUUGGUUUGAUAUAUAGUUAGUACAACUUUUAGAACAAUAAUUUUACAUGUUUUAAUUUUUCACUAAGUGUUCAAUCGAUCUAGUUUUAUAAAUUGAGGUGUUCAAUAGAUAAAAUAAAGUAUUUAAUAGGUACAAUAAUUUUUCAAUAAGUAUUUAACAUGUACAAUUUUAUAAGUUGAAGUAUUCAAUGAAUCAAAAUAAAAGUUGAGAGCGUCAAGAUUUUUUGUGAAAAGUAUAUGAGUGAAUUUAUGCAUUGAGCCUUCAAGAAUCUCUAAUUUGAGAUUGGGAUUCAAUUAUAAUCAAAAUAUGAAAUUGGGUGCCACAGUGGUAAAAUUUAAAUUCGGGUAUAAAUUUAAAAAUUGCAAAGUUUAAGAUAUUAUUAAUAUUUUACUCAUUAUUUAUAUUUUGAGAAAAUAUUUUUUGCACAACUCUAUUGACGUAACCACUGAAGGAAUGAAGAUGGCCUAGAGGAAGCAAUGCCCCCCACCCCCCCCCUUGUUCAAUUGAUAGAAAUUUGCACAACUUGGAGGGGGCAAUGGCCUCCGCUUUAGAAAAGUAAUUUUUGUUUUUAAAUGAAAAAGUAAUUUAUUUUUGGUGAUUGAUAGAAGCUUGUAUAACUUGAGUCGUAACACAUUGGGAUCACGACUCCUAUUGCCAGGGUGAAUGAAUCAAUGAUUUUAUAAAAAUACUUAUUUGAAUCGGGUCUAUAAUCUCAUUUAUGAACUAAAUAAAUAAAAUUAAGAAUUUUUAAAAAAAUAUUUCAAUUAUAUUUUUUUUCUAUGUGUAUGGUAAAAAACAUUCUCGUUUCAGUAACGAUCUUUAAUUUCGUUGAUUUGAUUCAUAAGUGAAACCGUGGACCUGCCAACCUGAUCGAGGUAAGUUUUUUCCAUAAUUUUAUAUUAGAGAUGGCAAAUUUACGACUUCUAUAUUUUGUUUUGUUUUUUAACAAUAAUCACUAAUAAAUGUAAUUAUAAAGGUAAAAUUAUAGAGAAGUAACUAUAAGAUAAAACUAAUUUAUAAGUACUUUUAAUAAAAGAAAUAAAAUGCACCUACACCUUCUCACAAUUAAAUUUGCUGAAUACUCAGCCAUCCUUUUUUCUGCGGUCUCUCUCUAAGGGGAAAAAAAAAAAAAACUAAAAUCUUUCUUUUCUUUUUCCAUAGCCAGUCACCGUGAAAUAUCAUCGGUGGUCACCCCUUGUUUUCCUUAGUUUGUUUUUUUUUUUUUUCUAAAUAAUUCUCAGCUUUGUGUCUUUUGAUACAUAUCUGAAUUAUUAUUAUCCAUAUGUUGGGAUUAUUGUUGCUCAUAUUUUGAGAUUUUAUUUUCAGAUCUAGUCGUUUUGUUAUCACCAUUAUGGUAGUUUUAUUUAUGAUAUUUUGCUAUUUGGAUGGUUAUACAGAAAGAAGCACAAAUCUCCUUUUUGACGAAGGAAGAAAUUUGAAGAUAAUCAGAUCAGAUUUGUAGAAAGACCAUGAAAUCUAACAGUGAUCAUAAAUAGCCACCAAGUGGAAUGAGUGAUCGCUUAUGGCACAUGUAUUAUGCUUUAUCAAUUUAAUCGGUUAUUUCAAAUCAAAGUUUGUGUUUUUUUUUAUUUUUUGUAUGAGUGGUUUAUUAUUAGAUUUACUUUACAAAAAUAUAGAAAUAGAUUGAUUUAUAUUUCAUAUUUGUGUACAGUUUCCUUUUAAUAAAAUUUUCUCAAAAAAAUAAAAAAUAAAAAUAAAGAUGUACCUCAUCCAUUUUGAAGCUCUCAUCUUCAAAGAACUUUGACUAACCCAAAAUUCUUGCAUGAUCGGGAUGGAGAUAUCAAAGCCAUUGUUGCUUUUCGAUUCCAAGACAAUUGAGGCCAGGGAUGAUCAAAUGAGCCGAUCCAUUGGAUAUUUGCUCUGAUUGAUUCGAAUGAAGCGGAUAAAUUUGAUCCAAAUAGUGGUGGAUCAUAUAUAGAUUUUUAAAAUAAAAUCUGCGCAGAUAUGGAUCGGAUAUGGAUAUAGCAUAAUCCGAUCAGAAUUCAUUCCGCAAAAGGUAAUUUUAUGUUUUUCUUAUAUUUCUAAAAUUGUUGAUUAUAAUUCUAAAUGUGCAGUUGGCUCUAUUCUAUUUUUCUUUCUUUUCUAUUUAUACAUAUUUUAAAUCAUUAUCUCCAACUCUUUCACCAUUUUCACAUUUUUUUUAAUCUCUAUUUCAAAUAAAAGAAUAUAAGUCGAGUAUUACGACCACUAGCAUGCAUUUUUUUUGCGCUUAAUAAUUCUUAAAGUCUCUUCUAAUAUCAUAUUAUACAAUAUUUCAAUUAUUGUUAAGAAUUUUUGUAUUUUCAAGCACAAUAAAUAAUAUGAAUUUUUACUAAAUAAUUAUUUUUUAUUUUUCUUUUAAACAUAAUAAAAACGGAUAAUAUUCGAUCCGAAUUCGAGUGGAGUGGAUAUAGACAUGGAUAUAUGAGAAUAUCUUCGCGAAUCGGAUAUGGAUUUUUCAUAAUCCGAUCCGAUCCAUGAUCAUCCCUAAUUGAGGCCCUCGAUCCUAAGAAGUUCUCAGAACGGAAGCAUUACAUCACGAUCAAAGGGCUAUUAUUAAGCACCUUGUUAAACUUUAUUGCUGGUUUACUCGACUUGAUCAAGUCAUGCAUUUGGAAUAGAGAUGCAAAAGAAAGAGAAAUGACAUGCCACCAUGAGAGAGAGAAAUUCGCUACUCUUGACAAAAUAAGUCGUUUCUUCUCUUCUUUAAUCAUAGGCAAUAUUCUGAGAACGGAAUUGGAGAAUGAACCGUAAAGGUAGAGUUCGCUGGAUCAGAGAGUGUGAUCGGUUUAAUAUGGUUUAAACGGGUUUUAUAUAUAGUAUUUUAAAUAUAUUUUUAAAUCCAAUUAAAAAUAUAAAAUUUAUAAAUACUAAAUAACUUUUUUUUUAAAAAAAAAGAUGUAUAGAAAAUAACAAAGAGUAUAAAAUUCUGAAAUAUAGAGUUGUAUAUUUAGUAUAUCAAGAUGUAUAAUCAAAAAUAUAAUAUCAAUAUAAAUAACUAUCAAGUAUAUCUAAUCAUAAAUAUAUUUAAUAGAAUAUUACUAUAUAAAUUAGUGUAAUCAUAAAUAUAUUAGUAUGUAAUUAUAAAUAAUUAUCAAAAUAUAUAUAUUUAUAUUACAGUUAAUAUUUAUAACAGGAAAAUAUCUUUAGUAUAUAUUUAGUGUUAUCAAAAUGUAUAUAUUUAUGAGUAGUCAUCGAGAUGCGUAGAUAAUUAUUUAUCAAUAUUAAAUAAAUAUUUCAUAAAAAAUACUAAAUAAAUAUAUGAUAAGUACAAAAUAAUGAAAUAUAGAAUUUCAAAAAUACAUUAAAGCUUUCUUUAUUUUAUUAUAUUAAAAUCUUUAAUUUCAUUGAUAUAAAAUAAGCAUUAGCUAUAAGAAUAUCAUACAUAAUAAUCCAAAAAAAAAGAAUAAAUCUUAAUUAAAAAUUAAAGUUAAAUAUCUUUUUAAUAUCAAUUAAAUUCAAUCAUCAUAUAAAAAAUUUAAUCACAAAUUCAUCUUUUUCAAAAAAAAAAAAAACGUACUACAAAAUCAAUAUAUAUAUAUAUAUAUAUAUAAUAUAUAUAUAUAGCAAGCAUUUUUUUUCCCUAGAAAGUUGACAUGUGGCAUAUCUACUUGGCAUUUUAUUUUGACAUGUGAUAUAUUUAUCCAAUUAGGCUUCCACUUGACAUGGUUUGAUUUGAUUAUUUAAUGUAUUAAUGUAUUAGUGUGGUUUGGUUUGAUGUGAAUUUUACAAUUAGUGUUUCUGAUUUGAUUUGGUUUGAUUAUUCAAUGUAUUAAUGUAUUAGUGUGGUUUGGUUUGAUGUGAAUUUUACAAUUAGUGUUUCUGAUUUGAUUUGGUUUGAUUUGAUUAUUUAAUAUAUGGGUUUGGUUUGAAUUUAUUUUGAAUUAGUGUUUUUGGUUUAGUUUGACUUGAUUAUUUAAUGUAUUAAUGGUUUUAAGUUAUUAUUAUUAAUUAUUAGUUUUCAAAAAAUGAUAAAGUUUAAUAACAAACGUUUUCGUGUAUUAAUGGCUUCAAAUUUGUGAAGUUACAAAAAUAUUUCAACACUUUAUUAGUGUAUUAAUGUUUUUAAUAUUUGAUUUGUUUAUUUGUGCAGUUUUAUUAGUGUUUUCGUUUAAUUUUUUAAAAAAUUUUAAAUUGCUCACUCAAAAAAAAAAAAACUUUCUUAAAAAUACUAUAUAUAUAAGUUGUCUCACUAUAUUUUCAUGUAUUUUUGACAAAAGUGUAUUGGUCCCUCUUUUUAAAUAUAUUAUUCUUUUUUUUUUUAAAUUCAGAAUUUUCUGCAUUUCAACUAUUUUCACUAAUGGAGUAAGUAAAUUUUACUCAAACUUUUUUUUUUGUCUCCUUUUUUAAAGAUUAUUUAACAUUUUUUUGCAGCCGUAAACUAUGAAACAGAAGUGAAAAGUACGAUAUAAUUGAAAAUUUGAAUACAAAUAGAGAUGAUUGGAAAAUAAAAUGUCACGACCCAAUUUCAUGGGCCGGACCGGCACUAGAGCCCAGGUAAGCUUAAGGCCCCCGAGGCCCGUAGUAAGCCUGAAACACUAAAAAUUUACUAUUUCAAUAUAAUUUUAAACAUUCAGCCCAUACUUAUAGGAAAAUAAACCUCAAGAUUCUAUUAAGUCUCGGCCCAAAUUUAUCAGCUACAACAUUCCACAGUUCGGGCCCAAUUAACAAUACGUCACAUUUUUAAUAUGGGCUCACAUAAUUAUAUCAUCUAUGUUAAUACAUGACUAAUUGUACACAAAUUCUACAACUGCGGAGUCACUAACUACUUGGUAUACAUAGCUUUUUAUACAUAUAAUUACAUAGUAAAAUAAUUUAAGAAACUGGAAAAUUUUUCUUCUAUUGCCCUGCGCCGAAGAAACAUAGCCUAAAUCGGAUUAAAGAAAAACUUACUUCCUGAAAAAUCAAAUAAGACAUGUGAGUUUUCUAAGGAGUAAUAAUUAUUGCACAACACACGCGGUCACACAAAUAUGUAAACAUAUCAAUCUAGUCAUCCGACUAAUUAUAUGCUCACGCAGCCAGUCAGUCACCGAACCCCCGAUGAGCCGUCCUCCCACAUGGCCCAUCCUCUCAUAACGUGUGCACCAGGGAGCCGAUCCCCCAUACUGGCCGACCGGUCUAAUCCUCACUUGACCAGCCCUCUCAUUGUUUUUCCAUUCUCUCUUUUCUUUUCCAUACCAACAGGAGGCAACCCGGUCGUCUCCAUCAAAUCUAGAUCAUCAGGCGCUCACAACAGGAGGCCACCCUGUGGGCUACGAUCAAAUCUAGAUUGUCCAAUGCGCAACGACGAGCGGCCAUCCUGUGGUUAACGGUAGGUGCACACGGGGGCGCCGAUCUCCCAUUUACUCGGCUAACGGUAAUGGAUCCAUAUAAUGGUGACGGUAUAUAACGAUAACGGUAAUCAGGAUCCAUAUAACGGUAAAGGUCUCACAAACCCAUGGUGACCCACUUCAGCCCAAUCACACACAAACAUGGCAAAGCAUGGUCACAUCACAACUAAUCAAGCAUUGCAAUUAAAUGCAAACAUAUUGAUCAGUUACACAUCGGAAUGCAAUGCACGAUUAGACUUUCAUACUCAAAUGCAAACAAAUAGAUAAAUAAUAUUAACAAACAAUAAUAAUGAAAAUAAAUAAGUAAUUGAAUAAUUAAAUAAAUAAUGAUGAUAAUGAAAUAAUUAGAGCACUUAUUUAUCAUGUAUUAAAUUAUAGAAUUAAUCUAAAUAAACUUAUUAAUUAUGUUGUCAAUUAAACUAGUCUAAGUUCUAUCGAAAUUUCGACAGCACCUCCCCUAAAAAUGGGACUAUCCAACCUGUUUAAAUAUCUCAAUAACUCCCAAUAACACUAAGUAUUUUUCAAUCAAUACACACAGCCCAUCCAUCGGGCAAUUAAACAAAUUUAUUUCCCUUCCUCCAUCCAAAAUAAUCACAUCAAUAUUUAAUCGUCAAUGUCAAACUUUAACUUACUAUAUAACAUUAAGUAAAUAAAUAAAUAAGCAAAUAAGUGAAAAAUAACUAUUUGCUUAACCUCCACACGUUACUAGUUAAACUAUCUAAUACAGACCCUUAACAAUCAUAUAAAACUAUAGCUUAUGUAUUCAAUAAUCAUUAACUAAAUUCGGAGUUUUUCGAUAUCAAAAUUAUAUAUUACACAUUAACUAACCAAUCCUUAGCAAGAAUUAAAUUUACAACUUCAUUGGACCAUGAUAUCAAACAACAAUUUACCUUUAAAUAAUGUGUUUGAUUAGUCCUUGAGUGCAUAGAUACAUAUAUAAGCAUAAGUGCAUAAUUAGCUUUCAUGAUUGAUUCUUUUCUAUAUUCUUUAAUUUGUACCUCACAUAUAAAACUUCAAGCUCAACCAUUGCAUACACAAGUAUAUAAAUAUAUCCCAUAAAUCAUUUAUAAUUUAUACAUGUCUUUCUUUCUUCAUACCAAUACUAGAACCGAAUUUCUAAUCAAACUCACAUAUAUAUAUACACUUAAUAGUUCCAAAUUAACUAAUUAACAAAUUAUAUUAACCUCCAAGCAUGAUUCAAUGAUACUAUUAAUUGCUCUAAAACUAUUCACUUGACUAAGCCUUAAUUUAUAACUUCUCCUAACAAUAUUUAUCCAAAUUCCUAAAUUAGCUUACAUCAAUAUUAUACUGAUUACUUCUUAACAAAAUUAUAUGUGUUUGAUUAUUCAUCCAAAUUCAAUUUAAUUAACUAAUAAUUAUUAAUUUUAUAAUUUAUACCGAAGAUAAAGAAACUGGUCUUAGAACGUACCAAUUGAGAAUCGGGCGGCGAUUCCAUGAUCAGCGCGAAGAGUAGAGAAUUCUGUCUCUCAGGGCCUCGCUGGAGUGUCGCCGGCCGGUCACCGAACCUCCGGCCGCCGUGCACGGUGGCCGGAAAACCGGUUGUGGCCAGAUUUGAGCAGCGCUUAUACCAAAAUGCUCAAAAUCUUAUGGGGACUCCGAUUCCGUGAUCCACUUGAACUGGGCGUGCCCUUUCUGGCCAGAAAUGACCCCCGACAGUUGCUUUGCCACUGCCAUCCAUGGCGUUUCCGUCGGUUGAGCCCUAUCGCCGAAAUCAAUGGAAGAGGAAGACUCGCUCGGAAGCAAGGAGUCGAUUGGUGGUCAUUUCAUGGAGUGUCUUUGCCGGCGUCGACGGGAUUCGCCAAAAUACUUGACUCGGCGGUGUCGGAAUAUUUUGGCUCGAUUUCUUCCAUACACACUCUCAAUCGCACAUCCAGAGGCCAUAAUGGAGCUCCCCUCGUCGAGAAGAUGGAUUCCGACUGGUGUUGCGCCUGAAUCCAUGGCCGUUUGGCCGGAAAACGGGAAGGAAGCGGGUGGCGGGGGCUGUCGCGCGCUGAAGAAGAAGAAGAGAAAAGAAAAAAAAGAAAGGAGAAAGGCGGUUUCUAGCAAACUCUAGGCCAUUCCGGUUCGAUUCAAACCGGUUUGGUCGGAUUUAGUGAUUUGGUCUCAUUUCGUUUGAUUUUCAAGUUUUUCACUCGGUUUUUUGGAUUAUUCGUGUGGUUCUCGACAAAUUAAAAUGAUUUUUGGGUCUGGUUCAAUUUAUUUUAACUGUUUAGUUCGGUUCCGUCAUAUUUUCUCUAUUUACUCGAUAAUAAUAAUAAAAAUAUUAAUAGUAACAAUAUUUUGAUUUUAGGAAAAUUAAUUUAUAUAUAUUCAUAAUAGAUUAAAUUGCUGUAGUUUUAUAUUAUUUCUCGAAAAUUUUAACUGUUCUCAAAUCAAAAAUUUCCGAUGAUAUAUUUCGGCUUAGGCCCAACUCGCAAACUUGGGCUCAAAUUGAGAUUUUAUUCUACUUGCAGCCCACCCGAUCAAAAUUUCUGAUUUUUGAUUUAAUAAAAAUUCAAAAGUUUCAAAAAUAAAAAUUCGGGGUAUUUCAUAAAAAGGGUAUCACGAUUAUGGAGUGUGUCCUUUAACAAUAGUAGAGAUUUUACGAGUACAGAGAUGGUAUUGCUGAAUGAAAAUGUUAAAUAUAAUAUUUUACAUUUUAUUAUUUACAUAACCAAUUAAAAAUAAUGUUAUCAUUUUCAAUAUUUGUAUGUAACCAUUUUUUUAUAUUUGUUAUUGUAGAUAAAUUAUAUGCUAUGUAGGGGUGGCCAAAAUCCGGUUUUCGGAACUAGAACCAUCGGUUCCGAACCGGUGGGAACUGGAACCGAAACCGGUAGGAACAGAAAUCGGUCUGAACCAGAACUGGAACCGGUCCGAACCGGUUCGAUUUCGAUUCCACCAGUUUUGGAACCGUGAAACAGCGGUUUCAGUUCCAGUCAGAACCGAUUGUUUCAGUUCCGUCUGAAACCAGCCGGAAUCAUCCGAAACCGACCAGAACCGAUCUAAAACCGGUAGGAACCGUCGAAAAAUCGAUGAUUUUGGAACCGUUAAGGAACCGGAAUCGAAAUCGAAAUUGAAACCGUUCGGUUCCAAACCGUAACCGGAACCCAAACCAGUGGUUCCGGAACCGUGGCCACCCCUAAUGCUAUGUUUUUAAGACUUAGUUCUUUUUAUCUAAUGAUGUAAAAACCUUUUACAUAAACUGUCAGUUUUAAUUCAGCUUCAAAUUAAUCUCAUUUUCGAAUAUUUGUACUAACAGUCCUUAAUGUUGUUGAAUUAUUAUUUGAGAUUGUUAAUUUAAUUAGUAUUACUUUCUAUUUUUUAUUUUUAUUAUAAUAUUUCAAAUUAAUUAAUUUUGAUAUUAGUUGACUAAUUGUUUGGUAGUUUUGCUUUCUAAUUUAUUUUUAGUAUAAAGGGAGAGAUUUUCAAUUUUAAACAUUGAUACUUGAUUUAAAAUAUUAUCAUUUAUUCUCAAAAAAAAAAAAAAAAAAAUUGUCAUUCAUAUCACUACAUUUAAGAAGUAAUUGAGGUGAAAUUAUAAUUGAUAAUAGAAAUAUUUUUCAUGAGAUAUUUCUUACCAUGUUCUUUUUUUUUUUUUCAAAUAAAAGCAUAAGCUAUAAAAAAAUAGUUAAUCAAAUAAAUUAAUUUUUGGUCUCUAGGAAGGAAUUCUGAAAGCUGCAAAUCAAUAUCUCUAAGAUAAGGUAAUAAUAAUAAUAAUAUCAUUACCUAUUCAAUAAAAAUUAAAAAAUUAUGUAGAAACACAUGAAUCUUACCGCUAUAUAAUAUUUUUUUUUAUUAUUAUUUUUUGCAGAUAGAGGAGAAUAUCGAGAUUACUGACUUUGCAUCAAUGACCACUAAUAUUCCAGAUCCACUAACUAUACAAAAUGAGAUAUUUCAGUUUUAGAAAUAGUUUGAUGGGUUUAUGCAUAUAUAAGUAAUAUAGUCUGUAAGAUGUUUUGGUUGAAUUUGAAGUUUAAUGGAUUGUUAUAUAUCAAUUAUUAUUAUUAUUAUUAUAUAUGUAGGUUGCUUAUGAGAUGGAAUGUUCCCAAUAAUGUUGUCCUUAAACUAAAUAUUAUUAAUGAAUAUUUAAUAUAAUUAUUUGGCUUGGUAUUUUAUCAUUAUUAUUAUUUUAUAUAAUUAGAUGAAAUUAUUUGGUGGUCUUUCUUUUAUUGUCAUUUAAUUUUCACAUGAAUCUUUUGUGUUAGAAUUACAUGAUCAUAUAUUUAUACAUGAUAUGUAAAAGUGGAUGGGUUAAAUACCUACCUUUUAUAGCGCAACAGAUGAAAAACCAUUACCCUUAUAUUACUAGGUUACUCAUCUUAGAAGUAAUCACAAAUAACAAACUACUCCUCUUGUCUAUGGUAGAUUCAAACUUCAUUGUAAUCAAUUAGAAUAAUAAUUAAAUAGUAUUAAUUAAUUAAACACAUUUAGAACUGAAUACACUAGUCAUGUAUGCAUACAUGUCCAUUAAUUCCAACAUUUUGCAACAAAAGAAAUCAUAGUUUGUGAAUUAGGUUGAACAUGAACCUAAUUGGAUUAAGUUUUAUUCGACAAUAAUUUUUCCUGUAGCAUUUAACAUUUUAACUAUGGUCAAAACACUAUCUUUGUUAUGUUUAUUUUGGUGGUGAUGUAGUAUUUAUAUUAAUGUUUAGAAUUUGAGACAACAGAUUAUGAAAUACUAUUCCUUUUAACUUUUAAUAAAAUGUGUUUUGCCGAACAUGCCCCAGUUAGAGUAUGUUAAUUGAAAGUUAGAGUAAGUUAAUUGAAAGCGAACUAUUAUUGAAGCUCUAUUUGUUUUCGUAAAAUAAUUUGCAAGAAAAUAUUUUCUACAAUUUUCCGUUUUUUGUGACGUUCAAAAAAAUAAGUCAAUGGAAAAUAUUUUUCUGGUCAAAGGAAAAUUAACUCAUUUUUUAAGGAAAACAACUUUCCAUUUGCGAGAGAGUAAAACAUUUUCCGGAUAUUGACAAAUCUUAUAAAUCCAUAUUUUUUAAUAUUUUAAUCAUCAUAGUCACUACUACCAGUCACCAUUUAUCACCUGCCACCAUCACCGACUUUCAUAAUUUAUAUAUAUAUUUUUUUUGCAUUCUUUUCAUAUUUAAGAAUAAAAUUUUAACUUAUAAAAUUUCUAUUAUUAUUAAUAUUUUUAUGGUUUUAUGAGAUAAAAGACUUUAAUAUUUUAACUAAUUUUCAAUAUUACAACCAAACAACAAAAACAAGUUAUUUGGAAAAUAUUUUUCCUGAAAAAUAUUUUUCAGUAAGUUAUUUUAUGCAAAUAAAUGGAGCUUUAGUUUUCAUAAUUUACUAAAACUUGUAAAUAGAAAUUUUUAUUUUCAAAAAAAUUAAGUGGUCUCUUUAUUAUAUUAUCGUUUAAUUUAAUUUUUAACAAGGGUUUUUAACUUUUUUGUUUUAUUUUUAUUCUUUUUUUACACACUACUAAAAAAUCAAACUUUAAACCUUUUUCUUUUAUCCUAAGUAUCACUACUUUUAAUUUAGAAAAUCUGAUUUUUUUUUUAGAUUAAAUUAUUAGAUAGAAGUUGAGAGUAAAAAUUUUUUAAUUUACAAAACUUAUUUAAAGAAGAUUUGCUGAAGCCCUCUUGUUCUAAAUCUGUACUCUACCCAAUACCAUGACCAACUCCAUCCGUGUACUAGUUUUACUAUGCAUAGGGACCAAAUAAUAAAAAGUGAUAAAGAAGAUAAAUAAAAGCAUUAAAGACAUCAUCAAAAUUCCAGUAAAUGAAAAUAAAAAAAUUUUUUUAUUUAAUUUUCUUCAAUUGAUUAACAAAAAAAAAAAAAAAAUUGUAAUCAAUUAGAAUAAUAAUUAAAUAGUAUUAAUUAAUUAAACACAUUUAGAACUGAAUACACUAGUCAUGUAUGCAUACAUGUCCAUUAAUUCCAACAUUUUGCAACAAAAGAAAUCAUAGUUUGUGAAUUAGGUUGAACAUGAACCUAAUUGGAUUAAGUUUUAUUCGACAAUAAUUUUUCCUGUAGCAUUUAACAUUUUAACUAUGGUCAAAACACUAUCUUUGUUAUGUUUAUUUUGGUGGUGAUGUAGUAUUUAUAUUAAUGUUUAGAAUUUGAGACAACAGAUUAUGAAAUACUAUUCCUUUUAACUUUUAAUAAAAUGUGUUUUGCCGAACAUGCCCCAGUUAGAGUAUGUUAAUUGAAAGUUAGAGUAAGUUAAUUGAAAGCGAACUAUUAUUGAAGCUCUAUUUGUUUUCGUAAAAUAAUUUGCAAGAAAAUAUUUUCUACAAUUUUCCGUUUUUUGUGACGUUCAAAAAAAUAAGUCAAUGGAAAAUAUUUUUCUGGUCAAAGGAAAAUUAACUCAUUUUUUAAGGAAAACAACUUUCCAUUUGCGAGAGAGUAAAACAUUUUCCGGAUAUUGACAAAUCUUAUAAAUCCAUAUUUUUUAAUAUUUUAAUCAUCAUAGUCACUACUACCAGUCACCAUUUAUCACCUGCCACCAUCACCGACUUUCAUAAUUUAUAUAUAUAUUUUUUUUGCAUUCUUUUCAUAUUUAAGAAUAAAAUUUUAACUUAUAAAAUUUCUAUUAUUAUUAAUAUUUUUAUGGUUUUAUGAGAUAAAAGACUUUAAUAUUUUAACUAAUUUUCAAUAUUACAACCAAACAACAAAAACAAGUUAUUUGGAAAAUAUUUUUCCUGAAAAAUAUUUUUCAGUAAGUUAUUUUAUGCAAAUAAAUGGAGCUUUAGUUUUCAUAAUUUACUAAAACUUGUAAAUAGAAAUUUUUAUUUUCAAAAAAAUUAAGUGGUCUCUUUAUUAUAUUAUCGUUUAAUUUAAUUUUUAACAAGGGUUUUUAACUUUUUUGUUUUAUUUUUAUUCUUUUUUUACACACUACUAAAAAAUCAAACUUUAAACCUUUUUCUUUUAUCCUAAGUAUCACUACUUUUAAUUUAGAAAAUCUGAUUUUUUUUUUAGAUUAAAUUAUUAGAUAGAAGUUGAGAGUAAAAAUUUUUUAAUUUACAAAACUUAUUUAAAGAAGAUUUGCUGAAGCCCUCUUGUUCUAAAUCUGUACUCUACCCAAUACCAUGACCAACUCCAUCCGUGUACUAGUUUUACUAUGCAUAGGGACCAAAUAAUAAAAAGUGAUAAAGAAGAUAAAUAAAAGCAUUAAAGACAUCAUCAAAAUUCCAGUAAAUGAAAAUAAAAAAAUUUUUUUAUUUAAUUUUCUUCAAUUGAUUAACAAAAAAAAAAAAAAAAUCAGCAAAAACUUUCAUGGAAGGUUAUUUAGUUGAUCAUAAUAAAAUUGAUAGCUUAUGUAAUUGAUUUUUAAAAAUAGAGGUCAUAACUUGCAGGUUUUGCUAAAUCAUAAGGACUAAAUAAUCAUAUACUCUAAUAAUUCAAUUAAAUUCGAUUAGAUUCUAAUUGUCAAGUUGGGCUUGGUUUCGUUACCCCAGCUCCACCUUGAGGGGGGCGUGAAAGAGUAUGAACAGCCUAAGGGCCAACAUCAGCAACAAAGCAAGAAGGAAGAAUCAAGAGGCUGCUAUUCUAACCAAAAUCAGAAAACCUAAAACUAAAAGAUAACAUUUUUUAUUUAUAUUAAACCCACACACCAUACCUGUUUCACUUAACCUGAAUCUGUGUAACAAAUCCAACUCACCCAUUAACCCAUAUUAUACAACUGUAAUUUUGUUACAUGAGAUAGUAUACAAUACAGUAGGUUCCAGAGUAAGGAAAUAUAGCACAAUUGUAAAUAUAAAUAGCACCCAGACUUUGAGAAAAGAGGAGAAAUACACUUGUUUACUUUCUUUUUAUGGUAUCACAGCCUCCUCUGAUAUCUGAAGUUCUAAAGCUUUCUUCAAGCUUCCUUCCUGAAAUUAAUGGCAGAAACUUAGAAUCAAAACAAUGAAAACACAAAUGUUGAAUCAGAGACUUAUAAGGUUUCAGCAUCUGAAAAUUCAGCUUCAAACCUCAUUAAUAUGUCCUUGAAUGGCCGUAAUUUCUUGUCAUGGAGCAGAUCUAUGACCAUAGCCUUGAAGUCUAGGGACAAAUAUGAAUUUGUCACUGGUGAAGAACAGGAACCUGCAGUUGGGUCUCCAUUGAGAAAGAGAUGGCAGAGGAUCGACAAUCUGGUAACAUCUUGGAUCUUGAACUCUAUUUCUAAAGAUCUAGUUGAGUCAUUUCUGUAUUAUCCAAGUUCCAAGGAUCUUUGGAAUGAACUGACCACCAAGUAUGGUGAAUCUAAUGGACCUAUGAUUUACCAAAUAAGGAAAGAUAUUUCAGUAACUAUGCAAGGUAACCAAACAGUAGCCAAUUACUACACUAAGCUGAAAAUACUCUGGGAUGAGUUGGCUUGUUUAAGGCCCAUUCCCAAAUGCACCUGUGGAAUUGUAGAAAGGUGUACCUGUGGUGUUAUGAGAGCAGCCCCAGAUCUAGAUGGUGAGAAGAAACUUAUGCAGUUCCUCUUAGGACUGAAUGAUACAUAUGACAAUGUUAAAAACCAAAUUCUACUUAUGGAUCCAUUUCCAAGCAUGAGCAAGGGCUAUUCAAUGGUACUAAGUGUUGAAAAACAGAGGGAGGUGAAUACUGCAAUCUAUGACUCAAGUGAGAAUAGCAGUGCAAUGUAUGUGCAAAAAUCAAACUACAACAGUAGAAAUACAAGAAUAAUUCCAGAUCUAAAGCUGACAAGCACUGUGAUCACUACAAUGGGACUGGCCACACUAGAGAGACUUGUUUUAAACUAACUGGUUAUCCCGAUUGGUUUAUUGAACUCAAAAAGAAGAAGAAAGCUCAAGCACAUUAUGGACAAGUAGAUGAUGAACAAUUGAGUGUUAACUCAGGAGACAAUGAGAAUGAUGUAUCCAAAAUGGUGAGAAUGGAGGUCCAGCAUGCAAUCAAAGGCAAGAUGCAGUAUGAUGAUAAGGCAGGGGAUACACCUACAGCUCAUGCAGUCAGUUUUGUAGGUAUUAUCUCUCAUUUUCAUUAUAAUGUGCAUGACAAGUAUGAAUUACUUCCAUGGAUUGUUGACACUGGUGCAACUGAUCAUAUGACAUACAUGCAUAAUCUAUUUCAUACAUUAACCAAAUUACCUAAACCUAGAACAGUAACUCUACCUGAUAACUCCACCAGAACUAUAACGCAUGUUGGCAAGGUCAUAAUACAUGAUAGACUGGUAUUAAAUGACGUGUUAUAUAUACCAACAUUCAAAUGCAAUUUGUUGUCUGCAUCAGCCCUUACAAAGGACAAUGCACUAUCAGUGAAAACACUACCUAACCAUUGUUUGUUAUAGGAUUUGCAGACUGAUGAAGUAGUAGCUAUUGGCAAGUUGUAUGGAGGCUUAUAUUUUCUUGAUAAGAAGUGUUUUGUACCUAUUACUACUAUUAAAGCUUUACUUACUUGUACUAAACAUGAUGAUCAUUUGAAACUGUUAUGGGCCUUAGAUUGGGUCAUAUUUCUAUGGCUAGACAAAAUCAUUUAAUAAAUUUAGAUACAAACAGUGGUUCUUUUGAAUGUAGUGUUUGCCCUCUUGCAAAGCAACAAAGAUUGCCAUUUUAUCCAAGUUGUAAUAUUGCUAAAGGCAUGUUUGAUGUAGUACAGACUGACCUAUGGGGACCCUAUCCUAUCACUUCUUUAACUGGUGCCAGAGACAUGAUUACUAUAGUGGAUGACUAUAGUAGAUACACAUGGGCCUACAUGUUACCAAAUAAACAACAAGUCCACUCAAUUCUUGACCACUUUACUAACCUAAUAGACACCCAGUUUCAUACAAGAAUCAAAACAAUAAGGACUGAUAAUGGCACUGAGUUUGUNNNNNNNNNNNNNNNNNNNNNNNNNNNNNNNNNNNNNNNNNNNNNNNNNNNNNUCCACAACAAAAUGGGAGAGUGGAGAGAAAACAUAAAGAAAUUUUGAACAUUGGGAGAGCCCUUCUAUUUCAGGCUAAGUUUCCUAAGACCUUUUGGUAUGAGGUUCUCCUAUCUGCUGUUUACCUAACCAAUAGAGUGCCAUCCGCACUCUUAGAAUGGUUAAGCCCUUUUGAAAAACUAAACCAAAUACAAUCAGACCUGAAACACUUAAGAGUUAUUGGCUGCUUGUGUUUUGCAACUAAUACUAAACCACACAAAGACAAGUUUGAUCCUAGAGCUAAACCAUGUGUAUUACUGGGUUAUGAGGCUCAACAGAAGAGUUACAAGCUAUAUGACAUGCACUCUAAGCAGAUUUUCUACUCAGGGGAUGUUGUGUUCAAGGAAACAGUUUACCCCUUCCAUCACAACACCCUUCUUGAGUCAUGUACAUUUAAGAUACCAGACUGUUUAGAUGACAAUGACCAACAAAUUCCAGAACACACAAACACUAUACCUGAAACCACAAUACCAGCAACAUAUGAAAAUAUGACUACCCUUGACCAAACAAGACAACAGACUACAACAGCACCUGAACCAGAACACCAACAAUACAUACAAAAUAACCAGAAAGAACUUGCUCAGACUUUACAACCAGAACAACCAGUUCAACCACUUAGAAGAAGCACAAGAAAUUCAAGGCAACCAGCUUGGAUGAUAGAUUAUGUAACCAAUUGUGCAAAUUCAAAUUCCACCCAUUUCCUUCCCAACUCACCCUAUUCACAUGCAUAUGCAUCUUUUGCAUCUAAUGUCAACAAAAUCAGAACCAUUAUCAUAUAAUCAUGCUAUUUUUAAUGAAAAUUGGGUGCAAGCAAUGCAAACUGAUCUAAAAGCGUUAGAAGAUAAUGGUACUUGGGUCUUAACUGAGUUACCUAAAGGGAAAAGGGCCAUUGGAUACCGAUCGGUCUACAGAGUCAAAUACAAACAAGAUGGGACUAUAGACAGGUAUAAGGCUCGCCUGGUUGCUAAAGGGUUCAAUCAAAAACAGGGCAUUGAUUACAAUGACAGCUUUUCUCCUGUUGCUAAAAUGGUGACUGUAAGGAUCCUGUUUACCCUAGUAGCUAAAUAUCAAUGGACUCUUCAUCAACUUGAUAUUAACAAUGCCUACCUACAUGGUUAUAUUGAUGAAGAUAUCUUCAUGCAACCUCCAGCUGGCUAUUCUAAGGCUUCUAAAGGCCAAGAGUGCAAAUUGACUAAGUCACUUUAUGGACUUAAGCAAGCUGGCAGAAUGUGGAACCAGUAGUUGACAAACACAUUACUCCAGUACGGAUUUCAACAGUCAGUGAAUGACCACUGCUUAUUCAUAAAAGGGGAAGAUAAUUACUUUCUAGUGCUUAUUGUCUAUAUGGAUGACAUUUUAGUUGCUGGGCCUAACAUUCAACUUGUAUGCAACAUUAAGGAGUUUCUACACUCUAGAUUUACUAUAAAGGACCUAGGUGAUGCAAGAUUUUUCUUGGGAAUUGAAAUCCUACGGUCUACUGAUGGCAUCUACUUAUCACAGCAGAAAUUCAUUCAAGACAUGCUGUUAGAUUCAAACAUACAGCAAGCAAAACAUGCAUCCACGCCAUUAGUAUAAGGUUAAAAGCUUCAAGCAAACAUGGGACCAUUACUCACAGAACCAGACUGUUGUAGAAGGUUAGUGGGGAGACUACUUUACUUGAGCUUCACCAGACCAGACAUCACUUACUUAAUACAGCAGUUGUCUCAACACAUGCAAAACCCUUGUCAGGGUCACAUGGUAGUUGCUUCUCAUGUUCUCCGUUACUUAGCCUCCACAACAGCUUUGAAAUUGUUCUUCCCUACUUCAUCUACGCUUGAUCUUAAAGCAUACUGUGAUGCUGACUGGGGGGCUUGCCCCGAAACUCGACGGUCACUCACAGGCUGCUGUAUAUUCAUGGGUUCCUCUAUUGUGUCAUGGAAAAUAAAAAAACAGUAGGUGGUCAGUCGCUCUUCUGCUGAAGCAGAAUACAGAGCCAUGGCUAAUACAGUGUGUGAAAUCAUUUGGAUUGACAAAAUACUAACAGAUCUGCGGGUAAAAGUAAAAACGCCAGUACCUUUAUUCUGCGACAACCAAGCGGCGCUGCAUAUUGCCGCCAAUCCUGUUUAUCACGAGCGCACAAAGCAUAUCGACAUCGACUGCCAUCUCACUCGACACUAUAUUCAAGCUGGCCUUAUCGACCCAAAGCAUCUCCCUUUAGAGUCACAACUCGUUGACUUCUUCACCAAACUGUUACCCAUCUCCAGAUUUCGGCUGAUGACUGUCAAGUUGGGCUUGGUUUCGUUACCCCAGCUCCACCUUGAGGGGGGCGUGAACGAGUAUGAAUAGCCUAAGGGACAACAUCAAUAGCAAAGCAAGAAGGAAGAAUCGAGAAGCUGCCGUUCUAACCAAAAUCAGAAAACCUAAAACUAAAACAUAAUAUUUUGUAUUUAUAUUAACCCCACACACCAUACCCGUUUCACUUAACCCGAAUCCAUGUAACAAAUCCAACUAACCCAUAAACCCAUAUUGUACAGCUGGAAUUCUGUUACAUGAGAUAGUAUACAAUACAGUAGGUUCUAGAGUAAGGAAAUACAACACACUUGUAAAUAUAAAUAGUAGCCAUUGUAUAGACUGUGAGAAAAGAGGAGAAAUACACUAAUUCUUUAUUUUGUUUACUUUCUGUUCAGAUUCCUUAUUCGAUAUGGUUCGAUUAAUCUUUAUUUGGUUUUAUUAAUUUAAAUCAGUUAAAAAUUUCAUCAAAAUUAGAUGAACUGACUCAAUACUCAAUGCUCAUAGCCUAAAAAUAUCCACCGUAAUGUGAACUUAAUGUAUUUAGGUUAUGUUUGGUUAAAUGUAAUGCAAUGUAAGAAACCUGAAUCUCACGUUCAAAGAAUGAGAUUUAUGUAUUCCCAAUGUCACCAGAAAUAGAGGAUAAAAGAUAAUUUAGUUAAUUUACUAUUGAUUUUGUUAUUAUCUAUGAAUAUUAAUAUCUUCCUUAAUCCUUAUGAAAACCUUAAACGACUUAUAUUUUGUGACGGAGGGAAUAAUUAAUAUACAAUCACCAUCAUUGAGUUUAAUUUUCUUUAUGUUUCAAUACAUUUAAUUUGUCAUUCUUUUAGGGAAAUUUAGUUUGUCGUUUAGUAGUGAAUGACAUUGUAGUUUUAUCCCAUUUAGAAAGACCAAUAUAUAUUUCCUUUAAAGCAAUUGUACUCCUGAUAACAAUUCAACUUUGAUUUCUUUACACAAAUUUAAGGUAUGUUAUAUAUUAUUCAUCUCCAUUUAUGUAUGAAAAUAUAUAAUUCAACAUCCCACGUGUGAACUCUCCUCUAUUAGAAAAGUAGAGCUCAUAAAGGAUGGAUAAUAAAACCAUACAAGCUCUAAUUCUCCCGCAAGAACAAACUCAAGCAAUGGAUUCAAGAAAUGGAUAAUCAGUAUAACCAAUCACAGGAUCAGAUAUGUAAAAUGUUGCUCUAUUGUACUUGUUGAGAGGAGCAUUAAGUUCAAAUCUCUUUGGUAAAUCUGGAUUUGCUAGGAAAUUCCGUCCAUAAGCGAUAAGAUCUGCACGGUUUUCUUCUAUAGCUUUGUUUCCAUCAUCCCUUUCAUAACCUCCAGCAGCAAUGAAAGUACCUUUAAAAGCUUUUCUCAUGGGCAGAAGACUUUCUUUGCAUUCAAAUUUUUCUCCAACUGUUUUCAUUCUUGGCUCAACCAUGUGGCAGUAAACAAUCCCAUAUUUGUUCAAGGAUUCCGCCAUGUAAAGUCCUAAAGCUUUAGGAUUUGAAUCUCCUGCUUCCCCAUAGUUUGCAAAUGGAGAUAAUCUGAUUCCAACUUUGUCUGCCCCUAUUUCAUUAGAUACAGCUUCAACUAUUUCCAAAGCAAAACGGCAGCGGUUCUCUAGAGAUCCACCAUAUUGAUCUGUCCGAUCAUUCACCUGAUCUUUCAAAAACUGGUCAAUAAGAUAACCAUGAGCCCCAUGGAUCUCAACUCCAUCAAAACCUGUCAAAAAAAAAAAAAAAAAAAAAGGAAAUGAAAAAAUAAAUUAUGUAUCGGAGAGUGUAUUCAUGCAUGUGAUUUUUUUUAUGGCUUCAGCUGGAGUUCAAACUUCUGAGUUGACCACACAUCCAUAAGGAUGACCCAAAUGCUAUUGGAAAAAGCUCAUUGGUGCAUGGGAGAGACAUUUGUGAUUAGCGUUUUGCUUUUGAAAGAAACCCUACCAGCUUCUAUGGCGUUUCUUGCAGCAAGUCUAAAAUCAUUCACGAUAUGAGGAAUUUCAUCUGUUCUUAGUCGCCUUGGAGGUGUGAACUGUGCAGCAUCAAUGCCAUUAGCUCGAAUUUGAGGGGUCAAACCUUUGUCUGUUGAAGAGAUUGGAGCCUGCUCAUUUGGCUGAAAACCUAAACAGAGAUAGUAGAAACAACAUAAAGAUCCAGGUUUAAAGAACAAAGCCUUCAUAAAAUAAAGCAGUUUUACCGCAUGAAUUUCAAAAGAAUAAUUAAGAAUCAUUAAAAAUAUCAAGAAUCGAUUCUUAUAGCCAUUUGGAACAGAAAUUCAUUCCACCAACAAACUUCACUAGAGGUUAAAAGCAGGAUUUAAUAAAAACUUUAUUUCCCAAUAUCAAAAAAACACAAGUAAGGCCAAGUAUCAUGCCAAAAAAAAUUGUGCUGAUGAAACUCUAGUGUCGAGAAAUGGUGAAUAUAACAUAAGACUUUUUAGUAAUCUCAAGACUCAAGUUCAUCCAAAGUGACAAAAGAAGCACAAAAUUUAAGUGAUGGAAGCAACACCAAUAUACCAAAUUUAAACAAGAAAG